This 442-nucleotide ribosomal RNA is filed under the name uncultured bacterium. RNAcentral's name for it is "partial 16S ribosomal RNA". It matches the Rfam family "Bacterial small subunit ribosomal RNA", at positions 338 to 795 of the family's 1533-position model. The record is from RNAcentral.
CCUACGGGAGGCUGCAGUAGGGAAUCUUUCACAAUGGGCGAAAGCCUGAUGGAGCAACGCCGCGUGCAGGAUGAAGGCCUUCGGGUUGUAAACUGCUUUUAUAAGCGAGAAAUAUGAUGGUAACUUAUGAAUAAGGAUCAGCUAACUACGUGCCAGCAGCCGCGGUCAUACGUAGGAUCCGAGCAUUAUCCGGAGUGACUGGGUGUAAAGAGUUGCGUAGGUGACAUAAUAAGUAGCUAGUGAAAUCUGGUGGCUCAACCAUUCAGACUAUUAGCUAAACUGUUAAGCUCGAGACCGUUAGGGGUAACUGGAAUUUCUAGUGUAGGAGUGAAAUCCGUAGAUAUUAGAAGGAACACCAAUAGCGUAGGCAGGUUGCUGGGACGGUUCUGACACUAAGGCACGAAAGCGUAGGGAGCAAACGGGAUUAGAUACCCCAGUAGUC